Macaca fascicularis (crab-eating macaque) is the source of this 3316-nucleotide long non-coding RNA. The record is from Ensembl. NCBI's taxonomy places the organism in Eukaryota, Metazoa, Chordata, Mammalia, Primates, Cercopithecidae.
UUCUCUAAAAUUUAUUUACAAUUAAUAAGUUAAAAAGCAAAGUACAAGCAGAUUAUAAAUCUCAACCAUAAGUACAUCAAACUGUCCAGGGAAACACUUUGAGUCCAUUACAAACAAUUGUUUUCUAAAGCACUUAAGACAUAAUAGUCUAUCAAAAAAUAUUUUAAACACACCAAUAAAGUAAAUAUUAGGCAUAUGCGUCCAUUAAAAACCAUUAGAGUCCUGUCGCAAUCCUUAAAACAAUGAAAAACUUUUGAGUUCAAAAUUGCUCAGAUAUUUUGUAUUCAAAUAUUUUUAAAAUUUACUGAAGAGUUUUCUAAAAAAUAGUACUAUCAUUUGCACACAGCAGAUCAAUAGGUGUCAGUCACCAGCUUAAGUUACACUUGUCAAUAUUCAAACUUGAAUAAAAUAAAUACACAUCACAACAACGACACUUUGCACUAUCAACAAUGAAGCUUGCCCUCAACAAUUACGACAUUACUGGUUUUAGUAACAUAAAAAUACAUUGCUGGUUGACAGGAAGGAUAAAAAUGACAUCAGGAAUCUCAAAAAGUUAUGUGAGGUGCCAGUCACCACAUUUAGGCACUCGGGAAUUAAAAAUCAAAUAAAAGCAUAGCAAGGUGAUGAAUUUCCUCCUGGCUUCCCCCUCUACUUGUGCCAUAUAAGAUAAAAGAGAAGGCAAGAGAAUGAACGAAGAUCAUGAGAUUUCUUUCAAAAACUAUACACAAGCUAAGCUACAGACUUCACUUUAGAGGACAGUAAGUGGAUGCCUCAUCAUAAAGGCCACUAUGCCAAGUUUCUUUUCACAUUCUGCGACAAAGUACCCAUGAAAUACUUUCACUUUCCUAUUAGUAUACCAGUCAACUACAUUAGAUGUUGCUUCACAUUUUAAAAGUUGUAACAUAGGUUUUAACCAAAGGAAAGGGCAAAAAUAAAGAUUUUUUACAUCUUAUUUCACAGACUAGAAAUGGCAUAAUUUUUUAAUAGCCCAAAUGAAUACCAUUAUUGAAUUCAAGAUGGAUAAUCAGAUCCAAAAUGGAAUCAGAUAGCCCAAGUAAUCCAAAGAAGCAUUUAUGUGAGUUCAAGUAUGCUAAAGUAACAAGGCAUAGGAGAGAAAAAUGUCAAGAAUCUCCGUUAAAAUAAAUGAAUGGUGUCAUUGGUUAUGUUUCACUUGUGUGCUGAGCAGUUAUCCUCCCAGUUAAGCCAAAUUUCAAAAUCCUCUGGAAAACUAUCUAGAUAAGCUAUAUGUCGAAAUUGCAUUCUAAUAUGGCCAUUGGGUUUAUUUUUAAUUAUUAUAAAACUAUAUACAAUAGUGAAGUUGUACAAAUACAUUUUUCCCAGGUGCUAGUUAGCUAUAAAAGUUAACAAUGUAUUUUUAGGAAGAAAACCCUAUGCAUCUGAAAUACAAUUGGCAAUGGAAGCUAAUAACCAAAAGAAUAGUCUAAGCUUCCUAUCACAAAUAUAAUUUAACACUCUCCAUCUUCUAAGGAAUUAUUCAUUUUUAUUUACUCAUGUGACAGUGUUUGUACAAUGCAUUAUCAUUGAGUAGUGAAUAAAAGACUGAGGCUUACUAGAAAACUGGCAUCAAGUUAUAUAUGUGUGUGUAUAUAUAUAUAUAAUUUUUUAAGAAAACAAGAACACUGAAAUUAAAGUCACAACACUCCUAUAUGGACUACUAAACUUGAAAUACUCAUUUCAGAAAGCUAUGCCAUUUGAAUUCUAGGAACACAAGAGUCAAAAUUGCAACUCUCAUUAUUUUCCUAAGAAGCUGCCAAGCAGAGAUAAGUUUUAGUAUUAAACAUUUCACAUGUCAAGUUCCAGCCCAGUAUGGAUCGUUUCAUGGCAGAAUACUUAAAUUUGAAAUAAUAGUGGUACAAAAACACUCCUUGACCCUUUGGGUAUUGCAGUAAAAGCUGGCUGUGGCACUGCUGGCUAAAAAACUAUUAAGUUUUCCUGCCACAAAUGACCAAAGGCACUUGGAUAAUCAAGAAUUUCACACUGGGCCAUAUGGUAUAAACACUAUAAAAGCAUAAAGAAGGGUCAGUAUUCUGUGUGGCUCGCCUGUUUGAUUCCUGCGGUCUUCAGCUGUCAAAGACCUAGAACUGCAAACAUAUAAUGAGUGGCAAGAAGGUUAAAAAAAAGUUGGGACAAAAAAGUCAACUAAAAGUCAACUAAUUUUCAUUAUGUUUGUAAGACUGAUGAGUAUUAAUCUAGACAUUUCUUGUUAUCCAACAACAAAAACAAAAAGGAAAUAGAUUUCGCCCAAAGUAACCUCAACCAGUUAUUUGAUACCAAGAAAUGCCUCCACCCCUCUUGAUCAUUAAUAGCUCUAAGAAUUCUAAUGGGUAUUCUGUUUAUCAUUUUAGUCAUAAUGUUUACACACAUGCAUCUCUCCUAUGCAACUCGUAUUUUAAAAUACAUUAUCCUUGUAAAAUACAAGUAUUGUAAAAUCCUUGUAUUUUACAAGGAUAAUGUAUUUUAAAAUACUUUAAUGCAUAAUAUUCCUGGAUUUGUAUGUUAGACCAGGACAGGGGGCCAAAUCAUCUCUAGUCGGAUUCCAGUGACUCCUGUAACCAAAACCAGUUCUUCACAAUUUAUUCAUUUUUUUAAUCACACGCCAUAUGGUUUCAAUGCAUUUUUUUAUUCAAUUCAAAAGAAUUUAACAAGUUAACUUUUCCUAAACAAAAGUUUUCAUGUGUAUUCUACCAUUUUUAGGAGCUCAGUAAAUAUAAACAUUAAGUUUCAAUAUAAAACCUUUAAAAACACCUUGAAAAUGUUUAAACAGUCGUAUUUUGCAUGUCUUUGUUUGUAAUCACUGAGCCCAUACAAAUCCUCGCACUACUAACAGUCACAAGCUUGAACCUCUUAAAAAAUAUCCUCGAUCAAAGCUUUGGAAUCCAGUAAAAAUUAGGAAACGAGUGGGCUUCAGAAUACCCUGAGCACAAACUAGUGCAACACCACAUGUUCGAACUUCUGUCCGGAAAGAGGGGUGGCAGUGAAACAGAAAAAGGGGGAGAUAAAGAGCAAAGUAAAUUCUGGCUUUAUUACACAAGCACGAAACCAAAUUCCUUUGGAAAAAUAAUGUCUUCGGAGGACUUCCAGACCAGUGAGGUAGAGUCCAACAGGGAGAAAACGGAUCUGCCCCUAAGGUCCUGGAGACGUCUCAAUCUGGGGUCAGGAAGAAAGGGACCUCCCCUGCGGAUCCAGCUGUCCCCUCCCUCCGCAGGCCGGGUGCGGGAGGCAGCAGAGGGCACACCUGCCCCGGCGUCCAAGACGACGGCGCCGCGACCCGGGACAGGGACAACCAUCCGGUGAC